CGAAGCAGGCCAUGAAGAGGUCAGCCACCGCCAGGUUGACCAGGAUGUAGUUGAGCGGCUGCCGGAGCUUCUUGUGUUUGAAGGUGACCAGGAGGGUGAGGAGGUUGAUGGGCAGACCAGUGGAGAUGAGGAAGAAGAUGUAGCAACACACAAGGCGGUAUUUCCAGGGCUCGGCUAGAGCAAACCUUCUCCUCUCCACAUUCCAGCUAAUGCAUGGUAUGACUUUGGCUUCAUGCUUGGCACCCAGAUACCUUUCACAUGCAGGAUUGCCAACAGUGGGACCAAGAGGACUUUCACUUGGACUUGACCUGGACUUCUCCCACUCUGGGGAGCUGAACAUGGAGCAGGUAAGC
Molecule: long non-coding RNA, 353 nt
Filed under: Gallus gallus (chicken)
Lineage: Eukaryota; Metazoa; Chordata; Aves; Galliformes; Phasianidae
Source: RNAcentral